UCACCCAGGCGGAGGAGCUGAGCUUCAGCCAUGAAUCACUAACGCUACUCAGAGGAAACGGAUAAUUCUCCAUCUUCUGAAUCGCACUGUUGCCCUAAAGCAACUGAGCCCUGGGCGUUGCCUUUGGGCCUUUUGACCAGGGCCCAGGCAGCAUCACAGAGCUGUGGCCUCGUCACAGAGGGCUCCUGGGGUGGGGGAGGGGCGGCGAGAGGAGGGGGCUGGACCACGGCCCCUCCCCCACCCCAGCCCUGCUCAGCGCUCCAGCCCCUGGGCCUUCCAGAGCCCGCCUUUGACUCCAUCCUCUCAUCCGGUAUGCUGACCACUUAGGGCAUGAGUUUCAGAACAUGCAAAACUGAUGGAAUUAGAAAAGGAAUGGACCCUGCCCCUGACAGUUUCAAGAGGAGCAGCUGGGAAGUGUUUCAGAUGGUGGCCGCGAUGCCUGUUGGGUGACACUGAUGGCAGUACAACAGCAGCAAACAGCAGAGCCACAGGGAAAUGGUGGUGAUGACCCACCAGCACGAGGACCAU
Molecule: long non-coding RNA, 528 nt
Organism: Microcebus murinus (gray mouse lemur)
Lineage: Eukaryota; Metazoa; Chordata; Mammalia; Primates; Cheirogaleidae
Source: RefSeq, a predicted model, not a curated record